This is a small nuclear RNA of Myotis daubentonii (Daubenton's bat), 191 nucleotides long. RefSeq annotates it as U2 spliceosomal RNA. The record is from RefSeq and is a predicted model, not a curated record. NCBI's taxonomy places the organism in Eukaryota, Metazoa, Chordata, Mammalia, Chiroptera, Vespertilionidae.
AUCGCUUCUCGGCCUUUUGGCUAAGAUCAAGUGUUGUGCCUGUUCUUACCAGUUUAAUGUCUGAUACCUCCUCUUUCUAAGGACAAUAUAUUAAAUGGAUUUUCGGAGCAGGAAGAUGGAAUAGGAGCUUGCUCCGUCCACUCUGCGCAUCGACACGCUAUCGCAGUACCUCCGGGAAUGGUACACACAAA